RNAcentral lists this transfer RNA (85 nucleotides) under [Collinsella] massiliensis. RNAcentral's name for it is "tRNA-Leu". It matches the Rfam family "tRNA". Rfam says of the family: Transfer RNA (tRNA) molecules are approximately 80 nucleotides in length. Their secondary structure includes four short double-helical elements and three loops (D, anti-codon, and T loops). Further hydrogen bonds mediate the characteristic L-shaped molecular structure. tRNAs have two regions of fundamental functional importance: the anti-codon, which is responsible for specific mRNA codon recognition, and the 3' end, to which the tRNAs corresponding amino acid is attached (by aminoacyl-tRNA synthetases). tRNAs cope with the degeneracy of the genetic code in two manners: having more than one tRNA (with a specific anti-codon) for a particular amino acid; and 'wobble' base-pairing, i.e. permitting non-standard base-pairing at the 3rd anti-codon position. Lineage: Bacteria; Bacillati; Actinomycetota; Coriobacteriia; Coriobacteriales; Coriobacteriaceae. The record is from RNAcentral. RNAcentral also lists the same sequence under 2 other names.
GGGGGCGUGGCGGAAUUGGCAUACGCAGGAGACUUAAAAUCUCUCGCCUUCGGGAUUGUGGGUUCGAGUCCCACCGCCCCUACCA